AGAGGUGACCAGUCCCGGAAAAGAGCUGGGGAUGAGUUGGCUUAUAACAGCUCAUCAGCAUGUGCAAGUUCCAGAGGGUACAGAUAGUGAAUGUAUUGAAUGUACUUUCCUUCCCGAAAAGAGGACACACUGGAGCUGCAGAGACUGUAUUCGGAGCACAGCGGGGGGGGGCCUGCAGACACUCAGGAGCUCUGUCACAAAGUUGUUCUUGGAAGAGGAUAUUGGACUUCUUACUUUGGUUUGUAAUUUUAAAAAACAAAAAAACUAACAAAAAAAACAGUUGCUGCUAGACUUGGGGAUGAUUUUGAAAUGGGACAAUCUUUUAAUGAGUUUAUCUACAGAUUCCAUGAGGAACAAACGUCUUGAAGAGUGACCAUUGCUAAGGGAAAUCCAGCAGCCAACAUCAGCAGCUUCCUCCAAAAAUACAAGAGUAGAAGAAUUUUUUUUUUUUUUUUUUCAUUUUAAAGCACUUGUUUUUUUCAUUUGUGGACUUGGCACUUCAGCAUAUUGGCUUUACACAUCAGGAUCUCUUUUGCUUUAAAAUCAAGCAGAUCAUUACAAUACAGUGUUUUUCACUCAUUACCAAAACAAACCCCUUUUAAAAGAGUUGGUCUUUGUUUAGCAUUAGAAAGUCUUGUUAAAGGAAAAUGCUAACUUGGCUUCUGCUAUAACUUUUCCCUUCACCAGUUCACAACUUUUUUCUACUGUGUGCCUUGAGCUUUGUGCACUUUGCAACUCUGUGACCAUGAUGUUCAACUCACAAAUGCUUCCUGAAAAAGUUUAUGGUAUCACAGACUAACCCACUACGUUGUCAGGUGUGACUUUGUAGCAGGAUGCUAAGUAAGUGGGAAAAUAGAAGUGUGUUGCUCAUUGGUCACAUCUCCCCCUGCCUCACCGUGGCAUAUUCAUGUUAAUGUUGGGGACCAGCUCUUGUAGAACAUAUCCAUUCCCUCUGUCACUUCACAUGAUUUCACCAGCUGCUGGAGUAUUGGCAUGAAGCUAGUGUAGGGGUGGGCUGUACUUUAGCACUAAGCUCCCUUUUUAGUAUUGUGGAGAAAUUUCCAGUGGUAACAGCUAGUUACUGUGAUGCUCUAGGAAGCAGAUACGGUUAUUAAAUCCAAAUAUAAUAAUUGGUGUGGGCUUCCGGAUCCAUUUCAUUUUAAAUGGGUGAGUAGGUACUUUUUAAAAAAAAAGUCUGCAGUUUGCAUCUUUUAUAGCAUUAUAUUCAAGUAUAAUAGAGAAGUAGCACUGCUGUUUCAAGCUUCCUUCCACCUAUGACACAGCUGUAUUUUAUUUUUUUCCUGCACCCACAGUGCUGUUUAGUUUCUUACAAAAGAGUCCAAAGCUUAUUCUAGUUGUUUUUGGAAGGCAAAGAAAAAGAUGUGGCAGGUGAAAAUAUUUUUCUUCCCAAUUUUGUUUGACUCUAAAUUGAGCAUAUGCUUGAUUCUGUUUGGCUAUGUCACACUAAUAUUUACCUCUUCAGAGAACUUGGGGCAAAACAAGAUGUAUCAGGGAUAGUGUCACACUUCUGAUUGUCAGGUUUCUCAUAUAGUUGCCUCUGCCGAUUCAGUUUGUCUUUUUUCAGGAGCAGGCUGGAUGGGAGAGUUUGAAGUGUGAUGAUAGGAGCAAGGAAGUCAUCUAAUAGAAGUCCUCUAUUUGUAAAAUUAUUGUUCUGAGAAGUAAACGUAAAGGGUGUCAGAUUUAUUUUUUAAGUACUUAACCAGAGUUGUGGAUUUUGCAGAGGACUUUGAAUUGGACUUGUUUAACUCUGUGAGCAUCUUAGAUUGUAUUGAUAAACACUGAAUUACUGUAAGAAUAUAUACAGGCUCUCACUGUGCCCUGUACAGGUUGAUUUGCUACCCCAGUAACAUUGUGGUGUCGAGGAAGAAUUGCAUUCCAUCGUGAAGUCCAAAUUUACUCCUUGCCAUGGAGUGCUCGCUACGGGCUUAUAAAUUAACACCUGUGACUAACGUCUCUCCUGAGUGGUUUUAAUAAUACUUCUGAAAGGAAUAAAAUUGGGAUGAUUCUUUAAAUGUGGAUGAAUUCUUCAUUAUCCUAAUAAUGUGCCCAAAUGCUUUUUCUGGGAGAGUAUUCUUUGGCCAACAAUGAAACUUUCUCUGUAAAAGCAUUGUAUUAAGAUGUGAACUGGCAUUAAAAUCUUCUGAAGCUUUUGCAUUAUUAAGUUAGUGGAGAAAGAUUCUAUAUUGUCUUCUUUUUAUUAUUAUUAUGUAUGUGUUAACAAAAAGUGGGCCAAGUUUGCAAAAUUUAGUUUCUCUGAAUAUUUGCGCAGCGACUGCAGCUCGCAGUGGGCCAGGGCUUGGUACUGCAAAGCCGGGAGUGGGAGGCACUACAGAAAUCGUACACGUGUCCUCCUAGUGCAUGUGACUUGCUGUUACUCACCUUGGCCCCUUGAGGUACGUUGCAGGAUGAGAAACCUAUUUCUUUAUUUUAAGUAGAAAUUGACCUUGCUUAUUUAAUUGGGUUUAACAAAAUUGUUGGUUUGCAACAUGAGAGGAAAUAAGAUUUGCCCUCCAUUUUGUAUUGACUAAGCCCGGUCUGCCAGAAAGUAUUUUCUUCUCAUGUUUACUUGUAUUCUUCUUGCCAGUACAGUAUCUAGUUUUUCCAGCCCAGUUAAAUCCUAGCUUUUGUGGGGCCCAAAUCACGGAGGACAGAAAAUUGUACACUGAUUGUCUCAUUAGGCUACAUGCAGUUGAUCCGGCGAGCCCGACUGGUGUGUAUGUGCAGCCCGAAGCUAGACUCCCCAAAAGAAAGGCAGCUCGGUCACCUUGGAACAAUGACCCGUCAAAGUAAAUGACGAUGGUUUUGAGAGACGGUACUUACUUUAAAAGUUGGCCUUAUGCUUCAGUAACAGUGUCCUCUCCUGGUCUCUGUUGUCACAGCUGCACCCUAACCUGACAGGAGCUACUGCUUUGUUUUCUGUGGGGCGGAAGGCAAAACUUCAUAGAGUGUGACUCUUAAUCUAGUAGUUCUUAGGUAGAUUUAGAAGAAACACAAACCUGGAUGCAUGAGUUGUGCAUUAUUAAAUUUUGUGGGAAAGUUAUUUUUUUUUUCCUGUCCCUACUACAAGUUUGAGGCAGUUCCUCUCCCUUUCUUUGGGGUAUAGGAUGGAAACUGGGCAGUAAGUGAGACAUCAGGAGAAUGGGCGCCCCUGGCGUUGCUGUGCGCGUCUCCAGUGCCCCAGCCACGUAAGCCACACUCCCCUGGAGUGCAGAUGCCGUGGCUGCAGACGCCGUGCUUUCUGUUGGGUUGCAAAUUUGCACACAUGAAGAAUUCCUCAGGAAGAGUUUGCACAUGCAUCGCCUUGCAAUAUUCGUUACUGACCGAACAAGGGACUU
Neomonachus schauinslandi (Hawaiian monk seal) is the source of this 3356-nucleotide RNA transcript. RefSeq lists it as uncharacterized. Lineage: Eukaryota; Metazoa; Chordata; Mammalia; Carnivora; Phocidae. The transcript is spliced from 2 exons. The record is from RefSeq and is a predicted model, not a curated record.